GAGUUUGAUUAUGGCUCAGGAUGAACGCUGGCGGCGUGCCUAACACAUGCAAGUCGAACGGAGAGUAUGAACGGAAGUUUUCGGAUGGAAGUUCAUGCUUCUUAGUGGCGGACGGGUGAGUAACGCGUGGGCAACCUGCCUCAUACAGGGGGAUAGCAGAUAGAAAUGUCUGAUAAGACCGCAUAAGUCCUUUGCUUCGCAUGAAGCGGAGGGGAAAAGAGCAAUCUGGUAUUAGAUGGGCUCGCGUCCGAUUAGCUGGUUGGUGAGGUAACGGCUCACCAAGGCGACGAUCGGUAGCCGGACUGAGAGGUCGGACGGCCACAUUGGGACUUGAGACACGGCCCAAACUCCUACGGGAGGCAGCAGUGGGGGAUAUUGCACAAUGGAGGAAACUCUGAUGCAGCGACGCCGCGUGAGUGAAGAAGUAUUUCGGUAUGUAAAGCUCUAUCAGCAGGGAAGAUGAUGACG
Molecule: ribosomal RNA, 468 nt
Filed under: Catonella sp. canine oral taxon 025
Lineage: Bacteria; Bacillati; Bacillota; Clostridia; Lachnospirales; Lachnospiraceae
Description: bacterial SSU rRNA
Rfam family: Bacterial small subunit ribosomal RNA
Source: RNAcentral